GACGAACGCUGGCGGCGUGCUUAACACAUGCAAGUCGAACGGAAAGGCCCUGCGUGCUUGCGGUUCUCGAGUGGCGAACGGGUACGUAACACGAGAGUAACCUGCCCUUGACUUUGGGAUAACUUCAGGAAACUGGAGCUAAUACCGGAUCGGAGCUCCUGCUGCAUGGUGGGGGUUGGAAAGUUUCGGCGGUUGGGGAUGGACUCGCGGCUUAUCAGCUUGUUGGUGGGGUAGUGGCUUACCAAGGCUUUGACGGGUAGCCGGCCUGGGAGGGUGAACGGCGACAUUGCGACUGAGAGACGCACCAGACGGGUACGGGAGGCAGCGGUGGCGAGUCUGGCACAGUGAGCGGGAGCGUGUGACGGCAGCGCUGCGUUCGGAAUGACGGCCUGCGGGUUAUAAACAGCUUUCGGCUGUGACGAAGCGUGAGUGACGGUAAUGGGUAAAGAAGCACCGGCUAACUACGUG
This 468-nucleotide ribosomal RNA is filed under the name uncultured bacterium. RNAcentral describes it as "partial 16S ribosomal RNA". It matches the Rfam family "Bacterial small subunit ribosomal RNA", at positions 28 to 507 of the family's 1533-position model. The record is from RNAcentral.